CCUACGGGUGGCAGCAGUGAGGAAUAUUGGUCAAUGGACGAGAGUCUGAACCAGCCAAGUAGCGUGAAGGAUGACUGCCCUAUGGGUUGUAAACUUCUUUUAUAUGGGAAUAAAAUGUUCCACGUGUGGGAUUUUGUAUGUACCAUAUGACUAAGGAUCGGCUAACUCCGUGCCAGCAGCCGCCGUAAUCCGGAGGCUCCAGGCGUUAUCCGGAUUUUUGGGGUUAAAGGGGCGCGUAGGUGGAUUGUUAAGUCAGUUGUGAAAGUUUGCGGUCAACCGUAAAAUUGCAGUUGAAACUGGCAGUCUUGAGUACAGGAGAGGUGGGCGGAAUUCGUGGUGUAGCGGUGAAAUGCGUAGAUAUCGCGAAGAACUCUGAUUGCGAAGGCAGGUCACUGGACUGCAACUGACACUGAGGCUCGAAGGUGUGGGUAUCAAACAGGAUUAGAUACCCCGGUAGUC
RNAcentral lists this ribosomal RNA (459 nucleotides) under uncultured bacterium. Its description in RNAcentral is "partial 16S ribosomal RNA". It matches the Rfam family "Bacterial small subunit ribosomal RNA", at positions 338 to 795 of the family's 1533-position model. The record is from RNAcentral.